RNAcentral lists this long non-coding RNA (5700 nucleotides) under Gossypium barbadense (sea-island cotton). RNAcentral describes it as "long non-coding RNA (GBAR_LNC010261)". Lineage: Eukaryota; Viridiplantae; Streptophyta; Magnoliopsida; Malvales; Malvaceae. The record is from RNAcentral.
AAGAAUUAAUUUUAUUUUAUUUCAUAAAUAAAAAAGAUAAAAUAUGAUGUAACUUUUAAUACGAAAAUAUGCAUAAUACAUUUACCCAACUUAAAAGCAUAUUUAACAUUGAUGAGAAUGUUUGCUGGUAAAUUUUUUUCAUGUAAAGUAGGAGACAUAUUGAAAAGCUCAAAAUUUUAGUAGCGGCUGCGUGCCGUUUGCGGCCAUAAUUAAAUUAUUGAUCGGAAAAAGGCGUGUAAGUCUCCGCCACCAAACACUUAAGCAUCAUUCGCUUGAAUUAGGGCCCCCUUUCCUCCAUCCUCACAAAUUUCAAUUGACAUUGUAACAAACAAAACCACCAUUAUUAAAUUAAUCACAAAUUCAAAAUCAAUGGCAAUUUUCUAUGGUGAUAAUAACUAACAAUUUUAGUCUAAAAUACUUUAAUUCCCGACUUCUUAAAUUGGCAUACCUUAUUUUUCAAUUUUUAGUAUAAAUGAGAUCAAUUUUCUAUUCUCUAAUUUUGAGGAAGAUUUUAGGAGGGAAAAUAACAAUUUGUAAUUACAACUACAAUUAGAUUCACACCAUGCAAUGUACAAAAGAAUUACAAUACAAUAAAUAUAUUUGUAUAAUUACUUUUAAAAUUAAACUUUCAUAUGCACAAUGGAUUAAUUAAUCAAAAUAUAUGUAAAUCUAUGCUCAAAAAAAUAUAUAUGUGUGAAUUUGGAUAAAAAAAAAUUAGAUUAAAAACCCAUACAUACAUAAAUGUGUACACUAAACUUUAAACUUAAACACUGCAAGCUCAAAAUAUUAACAUUUACUAAUAUCAAAAUAUUAUCAUUUACUAAUACAACUAAAACUUCAUUAACUAAUUUUGAAAAAAAGUUAUGUUUAAACAUAUUUUAUGGUGAGAAAUCAAUGAACUAGAGUUUCCAACCCGCACGAAAAAUGGGAGAGUUUAGGCAAAAAUAUAGGCUCGAAAAAUGAAAUUGAGCAAAAAAAUAAGGCUCAUUUAGAAAACGAAUUGGGCCUCAUGUAAGGUUUUUUUGGCCCAAGGCGCCCUAAAUUUAAAAAAAAACACUAUUGUUUUUGCUGCUAUUUUUUCAUAUUUUACUGUGUUUUCCCAUUUUUUGUCACUAUUUUGCUAUUAUUUUACUAUUAUAUUGCUAUUAUUUUGUUGCUAAUGUAUGAAUAUUGUAUAAUACUUAUUUUCUUGUCAAUUUUACUACUAUUUUAGUAUAAAGACUUUUUUUAAUUUAUUUUUUAUUUGUUGGGAAAUAUUUAUUUUAAUAUUUUUAGAGUAUGUAUUGUAUUUUUAAAAACUUUUAUAUAAAAAAUAAAAUUAACAUGGGCCGGGUCAAGCUCGAGUUUUAACAUUUUUAUCCGAGUAAGACUUAGGUAAAAAUUUAUGCCCAUUUUUCGGCCUGGGCCGGUCCCAGACCUAGCAAUUGGACUUAAAAUUUUGUUAUAGUUCGACUCAACCCAUGGACAACUCUACAAUGAACCCAUUAUUUAAUUAAAUAUACAUUUUUAAGUUUUAAAAAUUAUUUUUUUAACUUAAUUCAGCAAGUUGCAUUCGUCUAUGACUUUGUAUCGAUAGUUCUUUUAAUGAACCAUCAAUUUUUCUUUUUUUUUUUUACACUUUCUCAACCAUAAAAUGUGAUUUUUUUGAGGAGGUACCUUUUACAUAAAAAAGUAUCCUACCUUAGUUUUCAUUUUUUAUAAGAUAAAUUAUAAAUUCAGUUAUUUAUGUAUGGUUUAAAUUAUGUUUUAGUCAUCGAAUUUAAAAAAGUUAUGAUAUGAUCAUUAACAUUAUUGAUUUGUUAUAUUUAGGUCACUAAAAUGUUAAAAAUCAUUAAUGGUUUAUAUCAUCAUUUCAAUAAAAAAAUUAAGUCAAAUUGUACAAAUAAUCCCUAUAUUUUUUUCCUUCUUUUUAAGAAAUUUAAUUAUUUUUCUUUCAGUUUUUUUUAACUUGUGUUUUUUCUUUUCCUUAUUUCUUUUAUUUGAGAUGGCAAAUGAGAUAAACUUAGGAUGUGUUUAACUUAGGAUGUGUUUAAUAAACUAAAAAUUUAAGUGCUGAAAAAUUAAGUACUCAAUGUUUAAUACUAAACUUUAAAAGUGCUAAAUUUAUAUUAAAAAAAUAUUUGAUAAAUUAGUAUAUAUAAGUACUGAAUAUAAUUUUAUUGUUUGAUAAAAGUAAGUACUUAUUUUUAAAAGAUUAUUCAUUUUUUUUAAUUUUGGUCUUAUUAACCUACUAUUUUAACUGGAUAGUUUUAAUAAAAAAUAAAUAUGAUAAUUUGAAUAUUUCAAUUUUUGAAAAAAAGUUAUUUUAAUUUUUCAAUUUUUCUUUUAUUUUUUUUUUAAAAACUUAACUUUCUCUAUAUUAAGUGAUAAGUAGCUAUCUACUUACUUAUCUUAUUCAAAUUUUUUUGUUGGAAAUUUUACAUUAAGUAAAAAAUUAAAAUGAUUAUCAAACACAUUUAAAAAUUUAAAUGAAGAAAGAGCAUGAAGAUAACCCAAUUGAGAAUGAGGACUAUAAGAAGAGGCCCAGAUCAAUAUUUUUCGAUCCUAAUGUUUCUGACUAUCAGGAUUCAUUAGGAUCUAUGGAAGAGCAUCCAAAUGCUCACUCUUUUAUUUUAUUGACGGUUGUUAGGAGGCAUGUUGAUCGGGAGCCAUGAAAAUAUUACGCUAGAAUGCCUGUGAAUUGGGGAGUACGCAGGCUAUAAGAAGGCUUCGGUAGGUGUUAAAGGCCUAUAAUCCUCAAAUUGUCUUAUUUAUGGAGUAAACUGGAUGAGGUACAAACGAAUAAGGUUAGAAAGAGAUGUGGUUUCGUAAAUGGGAUUGACGUUCUGGCGAUGGGUACGAUAGGUGGCCUCAGUUUAGCAUGGAAUGACAAUGAUCUGGUUCAAUUAAGGAGUUUUUCAAAUAAUCACAUUGAUGUAAUCAUUCAAAGAAUGCCUUGGUUUGUCUGUGGAGAUUUUAAUGAAAUACUUUAUUCUUAUGAAAGGAUAAAGAGAGGGCCACGUGACGAGAGACAGAUGGAGAAUUUGCAAAAGUUAUUAGAUGACUGUCAAUUGAUGGAUAUGGGUUAUGUUGGUUCACGUUUCACUUGGGAAAGAGGAAAUUUACUUGAAAUGAAUAUUCGUGAAAUAUUGGAUAAAGGGCGGCAAAUGGUGAUUGGAUGAAUCUAUUCCUUGAUUAUUCGAUUAGGCAUUUACCGCAUUCUAUGUUUAAUAAUUGUCCCCUUCUAAUUCAGACGGAUCAAGAUUUUAGGAGAAUGGUAAGAAGAAGAUUUCGGUUCAAAUCGUGGUGGGUAUUGGAGGAUUCUUGUAGGAAUGAUAUUUAUCGGAUUUGGGGAGAAAAUUAUAGUUUGGUGCUGGAUAAAUUAGAAGCUUUAAAAGCAAGGUUGUUGAGAUAGGAAAAGGGCAUAAAAGAAAAACGGAAUAAAACAUCUAGGCGAUUGAAUAGAAGAUUGGAAAUUCUAUCAGAGUUAGAGAGGAAUGAUAAGAUUUUGGCAGAAAUAAUUGAUAGAAAGAUUCAUCUUAAUCUAGAGAUGGAGAAAGAUGAGACAUAUUAGGAACAGAGGGCCCGAACAAACUGGUUACAUUUAAGGGAUAAAAUAUAAUUUUUUUCCAUAAUGUUGCUUUCUAGCGGAGACGCACGAAUCAAAUAUAUGGUUUGCAAAAUGAGGAGGGUAAUGUAGUCACGAAUGAAGAAGGAAUACAGAAAAUAGCCAGAAAUUAUUUUUUGGAGUUACUUGCGUCAAAAGGAAUCAAGAAUUUGGAGAAUAUAUUGUUAGGGGUGGAUAGAUGUAUAUCAUAAAAUAUGAAUCGAAUGCUACUAGCAAACUAUACAACUAAAGAGGUGUUUACUAUAGUGAGUGGAAUAAGUCCAUCAAAAGCGGCUGGAGUUGAUGGUUUUCCAGCAAUUUUUUUCCAAAAAUACUGGCAUAUUAUUGGCCCGGAUAAGAGUUCUUUUUGCCUUGGAGUAUUAAAUAGAGGUAUGUCGAUGGACACACUUAAUGCUACUAAUAUUGUGCUUUUACUAAAAAUCUUUCAACCUAGAAAUUUGACAAAUUUUAAACCAAUAAGUCUUUACACAAUAUUAUACAAAAUUGUUUCAAAAACUAUUGCAAACAGAUUUCAACAAGUUUUAGAUUGUUGUAUUGAUAAAGCUCAAAGCGCUUUUGUUCCAUGUCGUUUGAUUACAAAUAAUGUUCUACUUAUGAAAUUCUACAUUCGUUUAAGCAAAAAAAGAAAAGGAGAAAAUGUUCAAUGUCGCUUAAGUUAGAUAUGAACAAAGCUUAUGAUAGUGUCGAGUGGUCUUUCUUAAGAAGAAUGUUGCUACAGAUGGGUUUCGUAUUGCCAUAGGUGGAACUUAUUAUGAGAUGCAAUAGUUCUGUCUCAUAUACUAUAGUGAUCAAUGGAAAAGAGGGGCAAAAUUUUAAACCUACAAGAGGGUUAAGGCAAGAGGAUCCUUUAAGUUACUAUUUAUUUCUGAUAUACAGUGAAAAACUUUCUGCUCUUAUGCGAUUGGCUAGGCAGGAGAGCUUAUUGGAAGAUGCUAGAAUUUGUAGGAGGAGUCCGAAUAUUUCGCAUUUAUUUCGCGGAAGUUUGUAUUCUCUUUACUGAAGCUUCAAAAAAGGGUGUGGAUGUACUAAAAGGUAUUCUAAAAGAAUAUGAGGCGACAUCAGGACAAUGUGUGAAUUAAGAAAAAUCAACAGUGUUGUACAGCUCAAACACGCUUGAUCAAGUUAGGGGAGUUGCCACGCAGAUGUUGAAUAUGUGAAAUUUUACAAAUCCGAAAAGGUAUUUGGGGCUUUCGAAUAUGAUUGGGAGAGGAAAGAAAGUAGCUUUUCAGUUGCUAAAAGAUCGUGUGAAUAGCAAGAUUGAUAGUUGGAGCACAAAACUUCUGCCAUAAGGAGGGAAAUAGGUGUUUAUAAAAUAUGUGUUACAAGCAAUCCCAACAUACACGAUGGCAUAUUUUUUACUUCCCAAAAUGUUUUGCAAAGAAUUGGAGAGUAUUAUUGCAAAUUUUUUAUGGCAAAAACGUCAUGGUAAAAGAUGUAUUCAUUAGUGUGAGUGGAGGAAUUUAUCCGAAUCAAAAGAGUACGGGGGGCUUGGUUUUUGAUGUUUAGCUAAAUUUAAUUUAUCGUUACUGGCAAAACAAGGUUGGAGGUUAGUUACGUUUCCAAAUUCUUUGCUUGCUCGUACGUUAAAAGCCAAAUAUUGUCUAUCAUCCAAUGUUUUAGAAGCAAGGUUGGGGAAUCUACCUUCUUGUACCUGGAAGAGUAUAUGGGUGACAAAAGGUUUUCUCCAAAAUGGGUUGUGUUGACGAGUGGGAACUGGAAAAAAUAUUUCAGUAAAAGGAGUUGCAUAGGUGCCGGGAUCUAAGAAUUACAAAAUGCAAAACAGUGAAAUGGAAAAUCUGCUAGCAAAAGAGUCUUAGAAAUGGAGAAUAUAGUAACAAAGAUGAAAGAGUACCUGAUUACGCCGUGGAGAUGGUGGAAAGGGGUCGUCCAAGGAGAGGGCUUUCCUAUUAAUGGGUGUCGUUCCAUUUCUAUUUAUAGAAGCAAGGGAAAAGGAAAGGUGCUUCGAAAAAUGAAGAGUUUGUGGGUUUUGAUAGAUGGGAUAAUUAAUGUGAUUUUUUUUUCUAUUGCCUCAAGAGUUGAACUUAUAUUUUGCUAUUACUAGCGUCAAGUUUCUAGAACUAUCUUCUUUUUUU